Molecule: long non-coding RNA, 1052 nt
Filed under: Olea europaea (common olive)
Lineage: Eukaryota; Viridiplantae; Streptophyta; Magnoliopsida; Lamiales; Oleaceae
Description: long non-coding RNA (OEUR_LNC001916)
Source: RNAcentral
UGGUUUAAUUCAUGUAAUAAUUGGUUUGAGUAGUUUUAGCCCUUGUUUGACAUAAUUUUUUUAAAAAGAAAGAAUUUUUGAAUAGCAACUUUUUUAUCAAUGUGUGGUUAAAAGUAGAAAAAAGUUUAAGGUUUACAUGAAAAAUAUUUUAUUAUGAGAAUGUGUGAUUGAAAAUGAGUAUGAAAAAUAGAAUUUUGAAAUAAUGGUGUUACCGAACUGGGACUUAGCCUAUAUUUGGUUCAUGUUUAUCAAUUAAAUAUAGUAAUACUACUUACUUAUUCAUUAUCUAUUUUCAUCUAUUUAUAAUUUAAAUAGUUUAUAAUUACUUUCAAAAUAUGCUUUUAAUCUGUACAUUCAACAUCAAAUUUAACACUGAAAGUAUUAUCGAGCUAGAAAUAAUUCAUUGCACAAUGAGGAAUUGAUAUAACUAAAAAAUAAUUAUGUGGCCACAUUAAAGAAUUGGUGGAUAAAGGGCACCAAAUUCUGGCUUGAUACCAACAGUUACAGUUAUUGCAGUUAAAUUGUUCUGUGUGUUUUAGAAAACAAACAGCUUCACCGUAUUUUUCAGCAAUCCAAGAUAUACUCUCUCUCUCGCUCUCUCUCUGGAGUUCUGUAGAAUAUCUAUUCUUUUUUCUACCAAAGCAAAGAAAAAAGAGCGUCCCUUUGUUAUUCAAUAGCUGUAGCCACUCUCCCCAAGUCUCGGAGGUCAAUGACGUCUUGCCCUGCUAAUUAAAGGUAAUAUAUAUUUCCCGUCAACACACUCUCAAGAACUAUAUAUGUAUGUAUAUGAAAUAUGUAGUAUAUAAAUGUUCAAAUUGAAUAUGUUGUUAAUGAUUAAUUAUUAAAGCUACCUGACUCCCAAGAAAAAAAAAGAUUAACCUUAUUGUGGACCUUUCUUAUCUGUUUGUUAAUUUCUUGAAGUAGUCAAUUUAUUCUUUUUAUAAACCUGGUCCGCACAAUUCCAUAUUUUUAUCUGAGGUCUUGGGUUUGAUAAAUUUUGUUAAUUUUAGUAAGGAUUAUUGGUUAGUGGGUGAGAUACUUCGAAAUUUUAG